CAAGUCGAGCGAACUGAUUAGAAGCUUGCUUCUAUGACGUUAGCGGCGGACGGGUGAGUAACACGUGGGCAACCUGCCUGUAAGACUGGGAUAACUUCGGGAAACCGAAGCUAAUACCGGAUAGGAUCUUCUCCUUCAUGGGAGAUGAUUGAAAGAUGGUUUCGGCUAUCACUUACAGAUGGGCCCGCGGUGCAUUAGCUAGUUGGUGAGGUAACGGCUCACCAAGGCAACGAUGCAUAGCCGACCUGAGAGGGUGAUCGGCCACACUGGGACUGAGACACGGCCCAGACUCCUACGGGAGGCAGCAGUAGGGAAUCUUCCGCAAUGGACGAAAGUCUGACGGAGCAACGCCGCGUGAGUGAUGAAGGCUUUCGGGUCGUAAAACUCUGUUGUUAGGGAAGAACAAGUACGAGAGUAACUGCU
Molecule: ribosomal RNA, 423 nt
Filed under: Priestia aryabhattai
Lineage: Bacteria; Bacillati; Bacillota; Bacilli; Caryophanales; Bacillaceae
Description: bacterial SSU rRNA
Rfam family: Bacterial small subunit ribosomal RNA
Source: RNAcentral